This is a regulatory RNA element of Enterococcus casseliflavus EC20, 98 nucleotides long. It matches the Rfam family "Purine riboswitch aptamer". From Rfam's summary of the family: Riboswitches are metabolite binding domains within certain messenger RNAs that serve as precision sensors for their corresponding targets. NCBI's taxonomy places the organism in Bacteria, Bacillati, Bacillota, Bacilli, Lactobacillales, Enterococcaceae. The record is from Rfam.
AUCUAUCAUUUAAAAAUUACUUGUAUAUCGUCGAAAUAUGGUCGACAGUCUCUACCCGAUACCGUAAAUAUCGGACUAUAAGUAAAAAUCGUGCCUGU